GACAGAGGGUGCAAACGUUGCUCGGAAUUACUGGGCGUAAAGCGCGUGUAGGCGGUUCCGCAAGUCAGGUGUGAAAGCCCAGGGCUCAACCCUGGAAGUGCACUUGAUACUACGGAGCUUGAGUACUGAAGAGGAGAGCGGAAUUCCCGGUGUAGAGGUGAAAUUCGUAGAUAUCGGGAGGAACACCAGUGGCGAAGGCGGCUCUCUGGGCAGAUACUGACGCUGAGACG
Molecule: ribosomal RNA, 230 nt
Filed under: uncultured bacterium
Lineage: Bacteria
Description: partial 16S ribosomal RNA
Rfam family: Bacterial small subunit ribosomal RNA
Source: RNAcentral